GAUGAACGCUGGCGGCGUGCCUAAUACAUGCAAGUCGAGCGAACAGACGAGGAGCUUGCUCCUCUGACGUUAGCGGCGGACGGGUGAGUAACACGUGGAUAACCUACCUAUAAGACUGGGAUAACUUCGGGAAACCGGAGCUAAUACCGGAUAAUAUAUUGAACCGCAUGGUUCAAUAGUGAAAGACGGUUUUGCUGUCACUUAUAGAUGGAUCCGCGCCGCAUUAGCUAGUUGGUAAGGUAACGGCUUACCAAGGCAACGAUGCGUAGCCGACCUGAGAGGGUGAUCGGCCACACUGGAACUGAGACACGGUCCAGACUCCUACGGGAGGCAGCAGUAGGGAAUCUUCCGCAAUGGGCGAAAUCCUGACGGAGCAACGCCGCGUGAGUGAUGAAGGUCUUCGGAUCGUAAAACUCUGUUAUUAGGAAAGAACAAAUGUGUAAGUAACUAUGCACGUCUUGACGGUACCUAAUCAGAAAGCCACAGCUAACUACGUG
RNAcentral lists this ribosomal RNA (497 nucleotides) under uncultured bacterium. Its description in RNAcentral is "partial 16S ribosomal RNA". It matches the Rfam family "Bacterial small subunit ribosomal RNA", at positions 28 to 507 of the family's 1533-position model. The record is from RNAcentral.